RNAcentral lists this ribosomal RNA (497 nucleotides) under uncultured bacterium. RNAcentral describes it as "partial 16S ribosomal RNA". It matches the Rfam family "Bacterial small subunit ribosomal RNA", at positions 28 to 507 of the family's 1533-position model. The record is from RNAcentral.
GAUGAACGCUGGCGGCGUGCCUAACACAUGCAAGUCGAGCGAACAGACGAGGAGUUUGCUCGUUUGACGUUUGCCGCGCGCGGGUGAGUCACACGUGGAUACUCUCCCUAUAUGACUGGUAUAAUUUCGGGACUCGGGCGCUUAUCGCGGCUAAUAUAUUGCACCGCAGGGUUCAAUAGUGAGAGACGGCUUUUGUGGCAGUUCUCGGUUGUUCCGCGCCGAAUUGGGUGGUUGGUAAGGUAAAGGCUUACCAAGGCAACGCUGCGUAGCCGACCUGAGAGGGUGAUCGGCCACACUGGAACUGGGACACGGUCCAGACUCCUACGGGAGGCAGCAGUAGGGAAUCUUCCGCAAUAGGCGAAAGCCUGACGGAGCAACGCCGCGUGAGUGAUGAAGGUCUUCGGAUCGUAAAACUCUGUUAUUAGGGAAGAACAAAUGUGUAAGUAACUAUGCACGUCUUGACGGUACCUAAUCAGAAAGCCACGGCUAACUACGUG